This 499-nucleotide ribosomal RNA is filed under the name Marinobacter sp. M1S-122. Its description in RNAcentral is "bacterial SSU rRNA". It matches the Rfam family "Bacterial small subunit ribosomal RNA", at positions 1 to 497 of the family's 1533-position model. The record is from RNAcentral. Lineage: Bacteria; Pseudomonadati; Pseudomonadota; Gammaproteobacteria; Pseudomonadales; Marinobacteraceae.
UUUAGAGUUUGAUCCUGGCUCAGAUUGAACGCUGGCGGCAGGCUUAACACAUGCAAGUCGAGCGGUAGCAGGGGGUGCUUGCACCCCGCUGACGAGCGGCGGACGGGUGAGUAAUGCAUAGGAAACUGCCCAGUAGUGGGGGAUAGCCCGGGGAAACCCGGAUUAAUACCGCGUACGCCCUUCGGGGGAAAGCAGGGGAUCUUCGGACCUUGCGCUAUUGGAUGUGCCUAUGUCGGAUUAGCUAGUUGGUGGGGUAAAGGCCUACCAAGGCGACGAUCCGUAGCUGGUCUGAGAGGAUGAUCAGCCACAUCGGGACUGAGACACGGCCCGAACUCCUACGGGAGGCAGCAGUGGGGAAUAUUGGACAAUGGGGGCAACCCUGAUCCAGCCAUGCCGCGUGUGUGAAGAAGGCUUUCGGGUUGUAAAGCACUUUCAGUGAGGAGGAAAACUCUGCGACUAAUACUCGUAGGGCUGGACGUACUCACAGAAGAGCACCGCA